UAAAACUUAAUAUUUUAAUCAGUUUAAUUAUUCAAUAACCAAUAUUUAUAUUGGUCGAGCAUUAAUAUUUUGACUAAUCUAUUUAAUUUUUAACUAAUUAUUUAUCUAAAAUAAUGUAUUAACUAAUUAAAAAGUUAGGUUAUUUUUAUAAUUAACUAAUUAAUUAAUUAAUGUAUUAAUCAAGUAAUUAAUUAACUAAUUUAUUAAUUUAUUAAUUUAUUCAUAGCUAAUAAAUUUAUUAAUUUACUAAAUUAUUUGUUAUUAAAAUUUUGAUGUUAAUUAAUUAGAUAAACUAUUUGUAAUUUAAAAUUAUAACUCUUAUUCCCUCCACCCCAUUCCAAUCUAACAAUCCAAACACCAUUUAUCAUAUUCUCCAGAAACAACCUAAUUUUCAUCCAAAUACAAAAUUAAUUUACUUUCUGUUUAUAUCUGAACUUAUAUUUAUUUCUGAAAUAAACCGUUCUUACUUAUACUGGAACCAAACACAGCCUAAAGGAAUAAGCCACAAAAUUUAAGCUUAUAU
RNAcentral lists this long non-coding RNA (523 nucleotides) under Ananas comosus (pineapple). RNAcentral's name for it is "long non-coding RNA (ACOM_LNC007202)". Lineage: Eukaryota; Viridiplantae; Streptophyta; Magnoliopsida; Poales; Bromeliaceae. The record is from RNAcentral.